AAUCUUCCGCAAUGGGCGAAAGCCUGAUGGAGCAACGCCGCGUGAGUGAAGAUGGAUNNNGGUUCNUCAAACUCUGUUUUAAGNGACNAACAAGUACAGUAGUAACUGGCUGUAUCUUGUCGAUACCUUAUUAGAAAGCCACGGCUAACUACGUGCCAGCAGCCGCGGUAAUACGUAUGUGGCAAGCGUUGUCCGGAAUUAUUGGGCGUAAAGCGCGCGCAGGCGGUCCUUUAAGUCUGAUGUGAAAGCCCACGGCUCAACCGUGGAGGGUCAUUGGAAACUGGGGGACUUGAGUGCAGAAGAGGAAAGUGGAAUUCCAAGUGUAGCGGUGAAAUGCGUAGAGAUUUGGAGGAACACCAGUGGCGAAGGCGACCUUCUGGUCUGUAACUGACGCUGAGGCGCGAAAGCGUGGGGAGCAAACA
Molecule: ribosomal RNA, 422 nt
Filed under: uncultured bacterium
Lineage: Bacteria
Description: partial 16S ribosomal RNA
Rfam family: Bacterial small subunit ribosomal RNA
Source: RNAcentral